Molecule: ribosomal RNA, 420 nt
Filed under: uncultured bacterium
Lineage: Bacteria
Description: bacterial SSU rRNA
Rfam family: Bacterial small subunit ribosomal RNA
Source: RNAcentral
UAAGGAAUAUUGCUCAAUGGGAGAAAUCCUGAAGCAGCAGCGCCGCGUGGAGGAUGAAGGGUCUAUGACUUGUAAACUCCUGUAAAGAAGGAAAAAAUUCCCAUUAGAUGGGAGAUGAUGGUACUUCUGGAGUAAGCCCCGGCUAACUACGUGCCAGCAGCCGCGGUAAUACGUAGGAUGCGAGCGUUAUCCGGAUUUAUUGGGUUUAAAGGGUGCGUAGGCGGCGAUAUAAGUCAGUGGUGAAAUAUUUCGGCUUAACCGAGAGACUGCCAUUGAUACUGUGUUGCUAGAAUAUGGUUGCUGUGAGUGGAGUGUGUGGUGUAGCGGUGAAAUGCUUAGAUAUCACACAGAAUAUCGAUUGCGAAGGCGACUUUCUGGACCGUAGCUGACGCUGAGGCAUGAAAGCGUGGGGAGCAAACA